Long non-coding RNA from Ctenopharyngodon idella (grass carp), 2365 nucleotides. RefSeq lists it as uncharacterized. The record is from RefSeq and is a predicted model, not a curated record. NCBI's taxonomy places the organism in Eukaryota, Metazoa, Chordata, Actinopteri, Cypriniformes, Xenocyprididae. The transcript has 8 exons.
GUUAAGGGUGUAAAUUGUUGUAGGGGGCGCUGCAUUCUCAACUUUCUUCCCAAAACUUUGGAAAUAGGCUACGGAGACAGAUCGGAGCACAGCCUGCAGUAAUGAUUCCGGUGAGGGGGCGUGAUCCGGUAAACGUGGGCAUGCUGGAUUUUAAGAGCAGUUCUGCCUUAUAACUGCUCACAACAUCACUGUUCUCUGCAGACGCUCGUUUGGUCCAGAACCGCGAGGACGAGAAAUUAUCCGAAAACCAGCUGAGUGAAAGAACCUUUCCAAAAUGAAAAUCGACGACGUUAGACCAGCGGUACUGACAGUGGAUAAUGGAAAGUGUGUGUGCAUUGAGAGAAAGCGAAAGUCCUCUCCAUCCCAUCAGCUGGUCUUGGAUCAUCGAACGGAAAAAGUCAAGGUGUAUUAUUUUCGUAAUGGAGCCAACAAAUUCAUGGCGUUUUGUUUUGAGCAUGGAGAAUACUCCAUUUUCCCUGUAACUGAUGGUACAGAGGUAAAACUUAAGGUAUUACCAAAACAGGACUUCAAGGAAGAUAUCUUUAACGAAACGUUCUUAUUUCAAUGGGUAGACAGUGGAACUAAUGACUGGCGGAGCUUGAAAUCAGUGGCUGAACCCAACAUGUACCUGUUUGUUGAAAAAGUAACAGAAAAAGACAAAGAAAAAGUGACCAUUAAUCCAGUUGGGAAGCCAAAUUUUAGAAUCAUUGAAGACAAAGGUAUUUUGUCAAUUGAUUUAGAAUCCAAGAACACGGGAACUCAAUACGACACGCCUUCUGUGUCAGUCAAGACUCGAUCCCGUGACUUGACUCUACUAAAUCAACGUGCCAACUCAACAGAUUUUCUGAGGUCUGGGAAUCGAAGGGGACCCAAGUACGCGAGAACUCCAUACAACAGGUCUCCUGGGUCAGUCAGGACUCGAUCCAGAGACUCGACACUAAAUCAAUCAUCGGCACGACUCAAAAGGAAAACCAAAGAAGAUUAAGAUGUCAGUGAAGAGCUGAAUCUGAGAGCAAAUGGAGGGGCAUUUUUGUCCAUUUCUUUGCAUGUUUGCCUUUUUGUCGUGACCUAGAAAUAUUACUGACAUGCCGUUUUUAGGUGUAAAAUCAGUUCUUACUAUAAAAACGCAACAGGCUCUGUGUAGUUUGGCACAUUAUUAUUGUCAGUUAUACUUGAUCAUAAUUACAUGGCUUAUCAAAAUGAUCUGUUUUAAUAAGCCAUUAAAAGACAAUGCAUAUAGGAACCUAACCUUUUAACAUCAUUUCCUGCAUUGAUAAAAUCAAAUGCAUUUCUUACUGGUAGUCGAUUCAUUUCCUGAAAUAUUUGCCUGUUCAGACCUUAGACUUCUGAGCACACUAUGCUUCGUAUUAUUGCGUAAGGCUGACAUGAGGUUAAGGUCCACAAUUGGAUCCAGUAGGGAUCAAACUAGAAAAGAUACUGCUCAGAAUUACAUGACUAUCAAGAACUACAUUUCUUGUUAGAAUUUUCUGUGUACAAACUAUUCAUACUAUUGAUACUAUAAAAUAACAUAGAAUAGCCAUUACCCAUAUAAUGCAUUUACUUCAUGCACUUAUUAGUUGCAGCUUUCCUUAUGUAGUGGCAAGGGAGGGACUGCUGGAUGACAAAAUAACCUUAUAACAGUCACACAUUAUACCGUAAAAUACAUGAUAUAGUGCAUAUAGUAGUAACAGUGAGUAGUCUAUAUAGUAUGUCAUUUGGGACGGAAAGUGGAGAGUCAGUAAAAACUCAGUCAAGAGCGACCACUUGUGGUGAAGUGGUUGAACUGCAGACUCAGAUGACAUGUAAUGUCAUUUGUUCAAUUCUGCUCAACUAUGAGGCAUAGAAGAUGAGCGUGUGUAAGAUCAGCAUAUGAGGAUGACUUUUAUCACUAAUGUGCUUUGUACUAGAGUUGGUAUAUAGCCUGUUACAUCUGAUAUGCGUCGUUUUUCUAGUAGUGAUCUGCACAUGUAUAUUCUUGUAUUUAUUAACCAUGUAAUGUGAAAGCAUGAUAAAUGUGAAAUAACUUUAACUGUAAUCAGCUCGCUAUGCAAGCUUACCUUUACCUUACUUUUAAAUUCACAUUUUCAGUAUUCUCGAGAUAGAGAGAUUAUGUUUUUAUAUUGAUGAACUUCCAUAAGGCAAAAAAACAAACAAAACAAGACAAAACAAAAAACAACCACAAAUGAACUGACUGAUGAUCUUGUUGAAAUGUUUCUAAGUGAAAUACAGCUAAAUACAGUAUUAUCUUCUGUAUUAAAAAUGCAUAGUUUAAAAUUAAGCACAUCAUCCUGGAUAGUGUUCAACUGAUAUUGCAAUCUGUUAAUGUGCUGUUUUACUACCAAAUAAACAUAUAUUUUCAAGUGUC